CGUCGAAGAGGUUCUGGUACGCGUUGCCGUCGUCGUCCUGCACGACGGUCCCCGGCGACGUGAAGAGCGCGUAGCUGAGGGCGAUCUGGGCCUCGUUGCCCGUGUAGGAGAAGUAGGGGUAGACGUUGCAGAGCAGCGGGGCCCCCGUGCUCUGCAGGUACUGCGCGAUGGGCCCCAUGUAACCCUGCGAGAAGCUGCCCUGCGACGGCGGGAAGCCCUGGGUGACGCCGCUCUCCACCGCCGUGGACACCUUGAUGCCUCCGAGCCCGGCGUUGGCGAGCGCGGAGUUGACGUUCUGCAUGGCGGGGAGGAUGCUGUUGGUGUCCCCGCCGGAGACCUCGUUGCCGACGGCGAUGUACUUGAAGUUGACCCCCGGGAACGCCUGCAAGUUCCUCUGCACCCACGUCGCCGCCGCGCUCGGGUCGGAGGCCAGCGAGGAGAGGUCCGAGUUGGGCACGUCCAUGAUCACGCCGAUGUUGCUGCCGCUCAGCGCGUUCAGCGCGUUGGUGUCCGGGAAGUAGAUGCGCAUGAGGUUGAUGCCGUUGGACUGGUAGAGCUGCACCACGUCGCUCGCCGGCGGCAGGUUGUCGCCGUUCACGCCGUAGCACACGCCGAUGGAUUUGACUCCUGUACGUACGUACAUAAGUGUCAAUAAUGCAUGCAUAUCAGCAUAUCGCGGUGAUCAGCAUUGCACCUAGCUAGAGUAAUGUAUGAUGCGUGAUGCAUGAAAAUCUGAUCUGACCUGUAGGAGUGGCUGGAAAUGCUCGGAGCAGCAAUGCCAGUGCAAGCAUGGAAGCUACAAGAAGCAAUGCCAGUGCAAGCAUGGAAGCGACAACCUGCUUCGACAUCUUGGAAGGAUCAGGAUCAGGAUCAGGAUCAGUUGCGCUACUCCUAUAUGUUUGCAGCAGCUACAGACAGGUAACUGUAACCGAUGCUACACUGGACUGCACUCCACUGCAUGCAAUUCACCGAGGCAUCGAGGCAUAUUUAUAUAGCUAGCUAGCUAGGCAGGGGCACGGCGGAGGCAAAUUCUGAGAGAUGUGCCGUCUCUCUGAUCGCCCAGUUUUAGCGGCACCAAUGCAAUACCUCGUUCCGUUAACAGCUUACACCGGAAGCCGCCGAGACGUACUGAUCUUGCCGCGGCAGCGACAGAUGAAGACGUAGACCUGACCUCGUCGCGAGCAAGCAUGUUGGGUGUUGGCUUUCUCAAAUCUGCGGUUGGACUUCGACGUCAUCGAGCACUCAGGAGCUACCGCAACGCGGGCUCGGCGUGGCGAUGCUCGAGCGGUUCUGUUGCAGGGGCGCGCGACCACCUGCUCGAGCUGUUCGCUGUGGUCCAGGAUGGUGAAUUUGUGAUAGAGAUGUCAACUCUGCUAAUUAAUGGGUUUUCUUCUUGAAAUAAUCUCUAGUAAAACUCCAAAUCAACCCCCAAAUGCAUAGACAUCAAUCUUUCUUUGUUGACCUUCCUGUAUGAAAAAUAUUCAGAACCCAAGUACCUCGACAGUAGCAGUUUUUCAUAUCUGAUGUAACUGUGAGUUAAUAUACUAGCUAACUGCUAACCAAAGUCUUGAGAUGAUACAGAGUCACAGAUCCAAAAGGUUCCAGUGAUGUCGGUACAUGUUAGCAAAGGAAGUUGAAACUGACACUUGCUUUGCUAACCCAAAAUCACACGACUGAAUGAAAUUUCCACUAGGUAACAAUGUCACAAAGGAUCAACAUCGGCAAAAGUGAUGUUACAAAUGGUUUCCCAAUCGCAUUACUGCUUCCGUGUCAAGCUGAAUAAGAACUUGUGAUCACUCUGUAGUUGACAUGUCGUAUCACCUGUGAAUUUGUGAUCACUGCCCUACGAAUAUAGGCCUUGUUUAGUUCACCCUGAAAACCAAAAAGUUUUCAAGAUUUCCCGUCACAUCGAAUCUUCUAGCACAUGCAUGAAACAUUAAAUAUAGACGAAAACAAAAACUAAUUACACAGUUUAGUUGUAAAUCAUGAAACGAAUCUUUUGAUCCUAGUUAGUCCAUAAUUGGAUAAUAUUUGUCACAAUCAAACGAAAGUGCUAUAGUACCGAAAACUUUUCACUCUUCGGAACUAAACAAGGCAAUAAAUUAUAUUCCUUUACCCAAUGCAGACUUUGAACACCAGAUAAUCCAUUUCAACGGGUGGAGGUGGAUGAUGCAGACUGGGCCUGGUGGCGGCAAAUUCACUAGGGCCAGUAGCGCGCUGGGUGGCCCUGUGUCCUGGCAGCGUCAUCCCCGUUCACGGCGGACAGCUAGAGCAGCGGGGCGCCCUCGCGAUAUGGAGCCGCUCGAGCUCUGCCAUGUCGUCGAGACCGUGCUGUGGCGUCUUCUUGUGUCGACAUCGCAGCUGAUGCUGGCAUGAGCUAGCGCCCUAUGAAUGUCAUGAUCUGCCGGCCUCGUUUUCGCACACAUCUUUAGGUGGCUUCUGACGAAAGAAAACGCUUUGCCGUUCACGACUAACCUGAAAUUAAUCACUUUAUAGAGAGAUUGAGAGGAAAACACUGUUUAGAAUUAAACUGCCAAAUUAAGGAGUCUUCUUCGUCAAACAAACUGUAGAGGCUAACUAAAUUACUUCUAACUAGAGGUUCAUCAACCAGUUAUCAACACACCUUCUGACUUUCCACCCCCAAAGAUUAGCCACCGUUUCCGACUUUCCAUGGACCAGAAUAUAAAUUUCCCAAAAAUGUAUAGCUCAACUAGAGUUUCCCAACCAGUUAUCCUUUAAAAACUUAAUCUUCUUCUUGUUACCUAUUUCCUGUCUGAACUCCAUUUUCGCAGCAGAGGCUGCCCACAGCAAGCCUUUAAAAAAUGGUGAAGUCAUGCACUCGUGCUAGCAGUAUUGUAUUUAUAGUCAACAACAAUACAACAUGGCUACUUAACUUACUCCACAAGGCUAACAGACACUUCUUUAAAUCUCUCAAAUUUGGUACCAAGCCGCCCAAAAUCUUUGAACAUACUACUAACACUCUCCCAAUUUGCAAGAUGAUAUGUUCUAAUUUUGAACCGAAUUUUAAUUGAUUAUAAUGAGAUAUUACUCCCAUUUAAUAAUGAUCGAUGCACAUAAUGUCGAGACGAAAUUAGGAGAAAGCAUAUAACUACAUGGGCAAAGAAGAAAUAAAUCAAGAAUGUACUUCUUGUUAUUCAUUUUUAUGUAAUAAUCGAAGCACUUGCCUUACAUGGAUGCACUUUGCAUUUUACAGGCAGUUUAUUCAAUGUUUUGGUAUGUAGUAUAUAAGGUAUAUAUGUGUAUCUGUAUGGUAUCUCGUAUAGUUAAAUUUUAUGUCUUGUUCGAUCGUGUAUAUAUGGACCGGGCCGCGCGAGCGUCCCACUUGGUUGGUUUUUAGGAGAAAUUGAUGGAGUACGCCGGCGAUUUGUCCGGGUUGAAGAGUCCGAAGUGCCUCUCCGUCUCGGCUCCCGUCUUCUUGUCCUCGUUGAACAUGGCGAAGAUGUAGGUCUCGAUGGCGCCGGGGCGCUUGGGCGUGCCCUUCCCGACAUGGUUGAUGAGGUUCUGGUUGUAGGUCUGCGCGUUCCCCGGCGUGGCGGCGUCGCCGCCGGCGGACGGCCAGCCGCUCUCGGACACGACGACGCCGACGUUCCCGGCGCCGGCGUUCUCGAGCGCGGACACGAAGGUGUCGACGAGCGCGUCGAAGAGGUUCUGGUACGCGUUGCUGCCGUCCUGCACGACGGUCCCCGGCGACGUGAAGAGCGCGUAGCUGAGGGCGAUCUGGGCCUCGUUGCCCGUGUAGGAGAAGUAGGGGUAGACGUUGCAGAGCAGCGGGGCCCCCGUGCUCUGCAGGUACUGCGCGAUGGGCGCCAUGUAGCUCUGCGAGAAGCUGCCCUGCGACGGCGGGUACCCCUGCGUGACGCCGCUCUGCACCGCCGUGGACACCUUGAUCUUUCCCAGCCCGGCGUUGGACAGCGCCGAGUUGACGUUCUUCAUGGCGGGGAGGAUGUUGUUGGUGUCCCCGCCGGAGACCUCGUUGCCGACGGCGAUGUACUUGAAGUUGACCCCCGGGAACGCCUGCACGUUGCUCUUCACCCACGUCGCCGCCGCGCUCGGGUCGGAGGCCAGCGAGGAGAGGUCCGUGUUGGGCACGUCCAUGAUCACCCCGAUGUUGCUGCCGCUCAGCGCGUUGAGCGCGUUGGUGUCCGCGAAGUAGAUGCGCAUCAGGUUGAUGCCGUUGGACUGGUACAGUUUCACCACGUCGCUCGCCGACGGCAGGUUGUCGCCGUUCACGCCGUAGCACACCCCGAUGGCUUGCACUCCUGUACGUCAGUGUCAGUCAUGUACGCACAUCGAUUAAUUAUAACGACAUUGCACUGAGAUCGACUAGUAAUACUCCAAUGAUGAUGCAUGCAAUGCCAUAAAUAUAUACAAAUGGGUAGGGUACUACGUAUGAACAACGUAUCUUAAUCACCUGUAG
This 4438-nucleotide long non-coding RNA is filed under the name Sorghum bicolor (sorghum). RNAcentral's name for it is "long non-coding RNA (SBIC_LNC005857)". The record is from RNAcentral. Lineage: Eukaryota; Viridiplantae; Streptophyta; Magnoliopsida; Poales; Poaceae.